This 214-nucleotide long non-coding RNA is filed under the name Mytilus galloprovincialis (Mediterranean mussel). The record is from RNAcentral. Lineage: Eukaryota; Metazoa; Mollusca; Bivalvia; Mytilida; Mytilidae.
UUAUGUCCUAGUCCAAAUAUAUAUCCAAAAUUCAGAAAGAUUGAAGCAAUCACUUUUACAAAUUUAGCCAAUACACAUCCAUACCCCUAUUGACAAUACAAGAGAUGUUCCGAAAACUGUAAAUAUCACCUUUUUGCACUUGACCUAAUCACUCAUUCUAUAUCAAAAUCAGUUAAAAUACAACCUCCAAAAAUUUAUUUGACCUCUCUUCUUU